This 95-nucleotide transfer RNA is filed under the name Synechococcus phage SynMITS9220M01. RNAcentral describes it as "tRNA-Ile". It matches the Rfam family "tRNA". From Rfam's summary of the family: Transfer RNA (tRNA) molecules are approximately 80 nucleotides in length. The record is from RNAcentral. Lineage: Duplodnaviria; Heunggongvirae; Uroviricota; Caudoviricetes; Pantevenvirales; Kyanoviridae.
UGGAAGUGUAGCUCAAUUGGCAGAGCGAGAAGCUUAUACCUUCUGUAUGCACCAGAUUAGUGCGCGGUUGUGGGUUCGACUCCCUCCACUUCCAU